Molecule: ribosomal RNA, 500 nt
Filed under: uncultured bacterium
Lineage: Bacteria
Description: partial 16S ribosomal RNA
Rfam family: Bacterial small subunit ribosomal RNA
Source: RNAcentral
AUUGAACGCUGGCGGCAUGCCUUACACAUGCAAGUCGAACGGCAGCACGGGAGCAAUCCUGGAGGCGAGUGGCGAACGGGUGAGUAAUAUAUCGGAACGUGCCCAGUCGUGGGGGAUAACGUAGCGAAAGCUACGCUAAUACCGCAUACGAUCUACGGAUGAAAGCGGGGGAUCGCAAGACCUCGCGCGAUUGGAGCGGCCGAUAUCAGAUUAGCUAGUUGGUGAGGUAAAGGCUCACCAAGGCGACGAUCUGUAGCUGGUCUGAGAGGACGACCAGCCACACUGGAACUGAGACACGGUCCAGACUCCUACGGGAGGCAGCAGUGGGGAAUUUUGGACAAUGGGCGCAAGCCUGAUCCAGCAAUGCCGCGUGCAGGAUGAAGGCCUUCGGGUUGUAAACUGCUUUUGUACGGAGCGAAACGGUCUUCUCUAAUACAGGGGGCUAAUGACGGUACCGUAAGAAUAAGCACCGGCUAACUACGUGCCAGCAGCCGCCGUAA